RNAcentral lists this unclassified non-coding RNA (237 nucleotides) under plant metagenome. RNAcentral describes it as "partial contains small subunit ribosomal RNA, internal transcribed spacer 1, and 5.8S ribosomal RNA". The record is from RNAcentral.
GCUCCGUUGGUGAACCAGCGGAGGGAUCAUUACCGAGUUUACAACUCCCAAACCCCAUGUGAACCUUACCAAACGUUGCUUCGGCGAGAUGCCCCGGGCGCGGGCCGCAAGGCCUCAGCCCCGGAACCAGGCGCCCGCCGGAGGCCCAAACCAAACUCUUGUUUUUGUAGAAUCUUCUGAGUGGCCUUUUAGGCAAAAAAUGAAUCAAAACUUUCAACAACGGAUCUCUUGGUUCUG